GAAUGACAGCUAAAGGGUAUUGGGGCCCACAUGGACUGCUCAAAUGCAAGGGAAAAAAAAAAAAGGUCAUGGACACCUUGGAUCGGUUAAGGAACCGAAGGCACACGCGGUCCGAAGGACAACUCAGGGUAUUGGGAUCCAUUUGGGAUCGGCUAGGAAAGAGAAAGUAAGGAGCAUGGGGCCUACCGGAUUGGUAAAAGCUCAAAACCAAACACACCCCAACUGGGGUUGGGAUCAGCUAGCAAAGAGAAACCAAGAGGCAUGGGACCCACCGGAUUGGCAAAAGCUAAAAACCAAGUGCACCCCAACUGGGGUUGGGAUCGGCUAGCAAAGAGAAACCAAGAGGUAUGGGACCCACCAAAUCUGCAAAAGCUUAAAACCAAGCAAACCCCAAUCCAUUUGGGAUCGGCUAGGAAAGAGAAAGUAAGGAGCAUGGGGCCUACCGGAUUGGUAAAAGCUCAAAACCAAACACACCCCAACUGGGGUUGGGAUCAGCUAGCAAAGAGAAACCAAGAGGCAUGGGACCCACAGGAUUGGCAAAAGCUUAAAACCAGGCGUAUCCCAAUCUAUUUGGAAUCUGCUAGGCAAGAGAAAGCAAGAAGUAUGGGGCCCACCAGACUGGCAAAAGCUAAGAACCAAGCAAAGAGAAAGCAAGGAUCAUGGGGCCCAUCGGAUCGGCACAAGCUUAAAGCCAAGCGCACCCCAGCUGGGGUCAGUUAGCAAAGAGGAAAAUGUGCAUAGGCCCACCGGAUUGGCAGAGGUGUAGAAACUCAAAAUAAAGAAAAGGGUCUACUUGCGUAUGGGAUUGGCUGUCCACACUUGGAUACUCCACGUGGGGAUAAUAGUCCACAGUUGAAACUUGAAAAGUUAGCAACUUGCAUGAAAAUUCAUAUAUGGAUAUUUCACAUGCAAGGUGUGAAAGCAACAUGCAU
This 932-nucleotide long non-coding RNA is filed under the name Prunus dulcis (almond). RNAcentral describes it as "sRNA ncRNA". The record is from RNAcentral. Lineage: Eukaryota; Viridiplantae; Streptophyta; Magnoliopsida; Rosales; Rosaceae.